This 482-nucleotide ribosomal RNA is filed under the name Blastocystis sp. subtype 1. RNAcentral's name for it is "SSU rRNA". It matches the Rfam family "Eukaryotic small subunit ribosomal RNA", at positions 459 to 954 of the family's 1831-position model. The record is from RNAcentral. Lineage: Eukaryota; Bigyra; Opalinata; Blastocystidae.
UGGAGGUAGUGACAAUAAAUCACAAUGCGGGACUAUCAGUCUUGCAAUUGGAUUGAGAACAAUGUACAACUCUUAUCGAUAAGCCAUUGGAGGGCAAGUCUGGUGCCAGCAGCCGCGGUAAUUCCAGCUCCAAUAGCGUAUAUUAACGUUGUUGCAGUUAAAAAGCUCGUAGUUGAAGUGUGGGUGAUCGCUAUUGUGAGACUUCGGUCUCUCGACAGUAAGUCACCCCCUUCCAGUAUCCAGUAGUGGGUAUUCACUUACUUACUACUGUGUGUUGGUCCUUUACUGUGAGAAAAUUAGAGUGUUCAAAGCAGGCGUUUGCUUGAAUAGAUUAGCAUGGAAUAAUAAUUGAAGGCUUUCGUGUUCGAUUUGAUUGGUUUGUUCAUGGAAGCAAGGUUAAAAGGAACAGUUGGGGGUAUUCAUAUUCACUAGUUAGAGGUGAAAUUCUCGGAUUUAUGGAAGAUGAACAAGUGCGAAAGCAA